AUACACAUUAGUUUUAAUAAAAAUUUUAAACCUGUUAUCAGUUUAAUAUCAGAUAUGUCCUGAAUAUGAGGACUGUAUAUUAAAUAGAUUUUUGGAAUGGGGAUGGAAUAGGAGCUUGCUUUAUCCACCCCAUGCAUUGACCUGGUAUUGCAGUGUCUCCAGGAACAGUGCCUCUCCU
Molecule: small nuclear RNA, 178 nt
Filed under: Chelydra serpentina (North American snapping turtle)
Lineage: Eukaryota; Metazoa; Chordata; Testudines; Chelydridae
Description: U2 spliceosomal RNA (ENSCSRG00000010578.1)
Rfam family: U2 spliceosomal RNA
About the family: U2 is a small nuclear RNA (snRNA) component of the spliceosome (involved in pre-mRNA splicing). Complementary binding between U2 snRNA (in an area lying towards the 5' end but 3' to hairpin I) and the branchpoint sequence (BPS) of the intron results the bulging out of an unpaired adenosine, on the BPS, which initiates a nucleophilic attack at the intronic 5' splice site, thus starting the first of two transesterification reactions that mediate splicing.
Source: Rfam by way of RNAcentral